Molecule: ribosomal RNA, 603 nt
Filed under: uncultured bacterium
Lineage: Bacteria
Description: bacterial SSU rRNA
Rfam family: Bacterial small subunit ribosomal RNA
Source: RNAcentral
GAGUGAGUGGCAGACGGGUGAGUAACGCGUGGAAACGUGCCUUUCUCUACGGAAUAGCCCUUGGAAACGAGGUGUAAUACCGUAUACGCCCUUAGGGGGAAAGAUUUAUCGGAGAAAGAUCGGUCCGCGUUAGAUUAGUUUGUUGGUGGGGUAAUGGCCUACCAAGACUACGAUCUAUAGCUGAUUUGAGAGGAUGAUCAGCCACACUGGAACUGAGACACGGUCCAGACUCCUACGGGAGGCAGCAGUGGGGAAUCUUGGACAAUGGGGGAAACCCUGAUCCAGCCAUGCCGCGUGAAUGAUGAAGGCCUUAGGGUUGUAAAAUUCUUUCACCGGGGAAGAUAAUGACGGUACCCGGAGAAGAAGCUCCGGCUAACUUCGUGCCAGCAGCCGCGGUAAUACGAAGGGAGCUAGCGUUGUUCGGAAUUACUGGGCGUAAAGCGCACGUAGGCGGAUUAGUAAGUAAGAGGUGAAAUCCCAGGGCUCAACCCUGGAACUGCCUUUUAAACUGCUAGUCUAGAGGAUAGGAGAGGUCAGUGGAAUACCGAGUGUAGAGGUGAAAUUCGUAGAUAUUCGGUGGAACACCAGUGGCGAAGGCGACUG